UUCCGGUUGAUCCUGCCGGACCCGACUGCUAUCGGGGUGGGCCUAAGCCAUGCGAGUCGUGCGCCCCGAGCUGCCGGGGCGCGGCGCACGGCUCAGUAACACGUGGUCAACCUGCCCUGCCGACGGGGAUAACCCCGGGAAACUGGGGCUAAUACCCGAUAGGCGCUCGCGCCUGGAACGGGCGAGCGCCGAAAGGGAUGUAGGGGCAUGCUCCCUGCAUCCGCGGCAGGAUGGGACCGCGGCCGAUCAGGUAGUUGGUGGGGUAACGGCCCACCAAGCCGAUAACCGGUACGGGCCCUGAGAGGGGGAGCCCGGAGAUGGGCCCUGAGACAAGGGCCCAGGCCCUACGGGGCGCAGCAGGCGCGAAACCUCCGCUAUGCGCGAAAGCGCGACGGGGUCACCCCGAGUGCCGGCCGCAGAGGCCGGCUUUUGCCCAGUCCAAAAGGCUGGGCGAAUAAGGGGAGGGCAAGCCUGGUGUCAGCCGCCGCGGUAAUACCAGCUCCCCGAGUGGUCGGGACGUUUACUGGGCUUAAAGGACCCGUAGCCGGCCCCACAAGUCCCUCGUUAAAUCCGGCGUCCCAAGCGCCGGGCUGCGGGGGAUACUGUGGGGCUUGGGAGCGGAGGAGGCCGGCGGUACCGCGGGAGUAGGGGUAAAAUCCUCUGAUCCCCGCGGGACCACCAGCGGCGAAGGCGGCCGGCUAAGACGCGUCCGACGGUGAGGGGUGAAAGCUGGGGGAGCGAUCGGGAUUAGAUACCCCGGUAGUCCCAGCUGUAAACGAUGCGGGCUAGGUGUGCGGGCAGCUUCGGGCUGUCCGCGUGCCGCAGGGAAACCGUUAAGCCCGCCGCCUGGGGAGUACGGCCGCAAGGCUGAAACUUAAAGGAAUUGGCGGGGGGGCACCACAAGGGGUGAAGCCUGCGGUUUAAUUGGAGUCAACGCCCGGAACCUUACCGGGGGAGACAGCAGGAUGAAAGCCAGGCUGAAGACCUUGCUAGGCGAGCUGAGAGGUGGUGCAUGGCCGUCGCCGGCUCGUGCCGUGAGGUGUCCUGUUAAGUCAGGCAACGAGCGAGACCCCCGCCCCUAGUUGCCAUCGGGCGCCCUUUGGCGCGCCGGGGAAACUAGGGGGACUGCCGCCGCAAGGCGGAGGAAGGAGGGGGCUACGGCAGGUCAGUAUGCCCCGAAUCCCCCGGGCCACACGCGGGCUGCAAUGGUGGGGACAGAGGGUGCCGACCCCGAAAGGGGGAGGUAAUCCCUAAACCCCACCUCAGUUGGGAUUGAGGGCUGCAACCCGCCCUCAUGAACCUGGAAUCCCUAGUAACCGCGCGUCAUCAUCGCGCGGUGAAUACGUCCCUGCCCCUUGC
This 1359-nucleotide ribosomal RNA is filed under the name uncultured archaeon. RNAcentral's name for it is "bacterial SSU rRNA". It matches the Rfam family "Archaeal small subunit ribosomal RNA". The record is from RNAcentral.